UGAGGAAUAUUGGUCAAUGGGCGAGAGCCUGAACCAGCCAAGUCGCGUGAAGGAAGAAUGUCCUAUGGAUUGUAAACUUCUUUUGUAGGGGGAUAAAAAAGGCUACGUGUAGUCUCUUGUAGGUACCCUACGAAUAAGGAUCGGCUAACUCCGUGCCAGCAGCCGCGGUAAUACGGAGGAUCCAAGCGUUAUCCGGAUUUAUUGGGGUUAAAGGGUGUGUAGGCGGGCUAUUAAGUCAGUGGUGAAAGGUUGACGCUCAACGUUAACAUUGCCAUUGAAACUGGUAGUCUUGAGUGCAAAUGAGGCAGGUGGAAUGUGUUGUGUAGCGGUGAAAUGCUUAGAUAUGACACAGAACACCAAUUGCGAAGGCAGCUUGCUGGAAUGUAACUGACGCUGAGGCACGAAAGCGUGGGGAUCAAACA
RNAcentral lists this ribosomal RNA (422 nucleotides) under uncultured prokaryote. RNAcentral describes it as "bacterial SSU rRNA". It matches the Rfam family "Bacterial small subunit ribosomal RNA", at positions 355 to 774 of the family's 1533-position model. The record is from RNAcentral.